RNAcentral lists this ribosomal RNA (1345 nucleotides) under Salmonella enterica subsp. enterica serovar Enteritidis. RNAcentral's name for it is "partial 23S ribosomal RNA". It matches the Rfam family "Bacterial large subunit ribosomal RNA", at positions 1477 to 2802 of the family's 2925-position model. Lineage: Bacteria; Pseudomonadati; Pseudomonadota; Gammaproteobacteria; Enterobacterales; Enterobacteriaceae. The record is from RNAcentral.
GAAGGCUAUGUUGGCCGGGCGACGGUUGUCCCGGUUUAAGCGUGUAGGCUGGUUUUCCAGGCAAAUCCGGAAAAUCAAGGCUGAGGCGUGAUGACGAGGCACUACGGUGCUGAAGCAACAAAUGCCCUGCUUCCAGGAAAAGCCUCUAAGCAUCAGGUAACAUCAAAUCGUACCCCAAACCGACACAGGUGGUCAGGUAGAGAAUACCAAGGCGCUUGAGAGAACUCGGGUGAAGGAACUAGGCAAAAUGGUGCCGUAACUUCGGGAGAAGGCACGCUGACACGUAGGUGAAGUGAUUUACUCAUGGAGCUGAAGUCAGUCGAAGAUACCAGCUGGCUGCAACUGUUUAUUAAAAACACAGCACUGUGCAAACACGAAAGUGGACGUAUACGGUGUGACGCCUGCCCGGUGCCGGAAGGUUAAUUGAUGGGGUCAGCGCAAGCGAAGCUCCUGAUCGAAGCCCCGGUAAACGGCGGCCGUAACUAUAACGGUCCUAAGGUAGCGAAAUUCCUUGUCGGGUAAGUUCCGACCUGCACGAAUGGCGUAAUGAUGGCCAGGCUGUCUCCACCCGAGACUCAGUGAAAUUGAACUCGCUGUGAAGAUGCAGUGUACCCGCGGCAAGACGGAAAGACCCCGUGAACCUUUACUAUAGCUUGACACUGAACAUUGAGCCUUGAUGUGUAGGAUAGGUGGGAGGCUUUGAAGUGUGGACGCCAGUCUGCAUGGAGCCGACCUUGAAAUACCACCCUUUAAUGUUUGAUGUUCUAACGUGGACCCGUUACCCGGGUUGCGGACAGUGUCUGGUGGGUAGUUUGACUGGGGCGGUCUCCUCCUAAAGAGUAACGGAGGAGCACGAAGGUUGGCUAAUCCUGGUCGGACAUCAGGAGGUUAGUGCAAUGGCAUAAGCCAGCUUGACUGCGAGCGUGACGGCGCGAGCAGGUGCGAAAGCAGGUCAUAGUGAUCCGGUGGUUCUGAAUGGAAGGGCCAUCGCUCAACGGAUAAAAGGUACUCCGGGGAUAACAGGCUGAUACCGCCCAAGAGUUCAUAUCGACGGCGGUGUUUGGCACCUCGAUGUCGGCUCAUCACAUCCUGGGGCUGAAGUAGGUCCCAAGGGUAUGGCUGUUCGCCAUUUAAAGUGGUACGCGAGCUGGGUUUAGAACGUCGUGAGACAGUUCGGUCCCUAUCUGCCGUGGGCGCUGGAGAACUGAGGGGGGCUGCUCCUAGUACGAGAGGACCGGAGUGGACGCAUCACUGGUGUUCGGGUUGUCAUGCCAAUGGCACUGCCCGGUAGCUAAAUGCGGAAGAGAUAAGUGCUGAAAGCAUCUAAGCACGAAACUUGCCCCGA